Non-coding RNA from Picea glauca (white spruce), 121 nucleotides. The record is from Rfam. NCBI's taxonomy places the organism in Eukaryota, Viridiplantae, Streptophyta, Pinopsida, Pinales, Pinaceae.
ACAUGCCUACAACAUAGCGUUAAUGCACUAGAUCCCAUUAGAACUCCCCAUUUAAGUGUGCUCAAGAUAGAGUAGUAUUGGGAUGGGUGACCACCCAGGAAGUCCCACUAUUUUACAUGCC